Molecule: unclassified non-coding RNA, 287 nt
Organism: Erinaceus europaeus (western European hedgehog)
Lineage: Eukaryota; Metazoa; Chordata; Mammalia; Eulipotyphla; Erinaceidae
Gene: 7SK
Rfam family: 7SK RNA
About the family: 7SK was discovered as an abundant small nuclear RNA in the mid-70s but a possible function has only recently been suggested. Two independent studies have found that 7SK RNA binds the CDK9/cyclin T complex (known as elongation factor P-TEFb).
Source: Ensembl
GGAUGUGAAGGUGAACUCACUGCGACAUCUGUCACCUUACUGAUGGCCAGGGUUGACUGGGCUGAUUUGGCUGGCUAGGUGGGUGUCGCCUUCCUCCCUCACUGCUCCAUGUGCGUCCCCCCUGCAGCUGCAUGCUCAGUCAAAGAGGACGGCCUUCGCAGAAUAGAGACGGACCGGUCUUCGGUCGAGGUAUAUGAGUAGCUGCGCUCCCCUGCUAGAACCUCCAAACAAGCUCUCCAGGUCCAAGUUCAGUCCCUGGCACUUCAUGUACCACAGUGGUGCUCUGU